RNAcentral lists this ribosomal RNA (531 nucleotides) under uncultured bacterium. Its description in RNAcentral is "partial 16S ribosomal RNA". It matches the Rfam family "Bacterial small subunit ribosomal RNA", at positions 355 to 895 of the family's 1533-position model. The record is from RNAcentral.
UGGGGAAUAUUGCACAAUGGGCGCAAGCCUGAUGCAGCAACGCCGCGUGAGGGAUGACGGCCUUCGGGUUGUAAACCUCUUUUAGUAGGGAAGAAGCGAAAGUGACGGUACCUGCAGAAAAAGCACCGGCUAACUACGUGCCAGCAGCCGCGGUAAUACGUAGGGUGCGAGCGUUGUCCGGAAUUAUUGGGCGUAAAGAGCUCGUAGGCGGUCUGUCGCGUCUGCUGUGAAAACCCCGAGGCUCAACCUCGGGCCUGCAGUGGGUACGGGCAGACUAGAGUGCGGUAGGGGAGAAUGGAAUUCCUGGUGUAGCGGUGGAAUGCGCAGAUAUCAGGAGGAACACCGAUGGCGAAGGCAGUUCUCUGGGCCGUAACUGACGCUGAGGAGCGAAAGCGUGGGGAGCGAACAGGAUUAGAUACCCUGGUAGUCCACGCCGUAAACGUUGGGCGCUAGAUGUGGGGACCAUUCCACGGUCUCCGUGUCGCAGCUAACGCAUUAAGCGCCCCGCCUGGGGAGUACGGCCGCAAGGCU